Polistes canadensis is the source of this 2989-nucleotide long non-coding RNA. RefSeq lists it as uncharacterized. The transcript is spliced from 3 exons. NCBI's taxonomy places the organism in Eukaryota, Metazoa, Arthropoda, Insecta, Hymenoptera, Vespidae. The record is from RefSeq and is a predicted model, not a curated record.
GAAGACAGGAUCAUUGGAAGCAUAGAUAGGUGGAUAGAUCGACGAAAUCGCGGCCGUGGCGUACAUACGCGCGAGUAUUAGCCGUCGUUCGUCUCCCCCCUUCAACCGACGCGUGCAAACAAAUCGAAAGUUUUUCGCAAAAUGGCCGUCACCGGGCUGACACGGAUGUCCGCAUAAACUCGCUCUUUCCCUCUACCUUCCCCUCCACACCUUCCCACUACCCCACGUCAUUCUCUCUCUCGGUACUCGUGAUUUCCCUCACCUCCCAUACCACCACAAAUAUGGCGCCUCCACCCGUUUUCCCAACCCCUACAUACCGUGGCUGCAUAAAGUGCGAGAGCGAGAGUAGAGAGUAACAAGGGGUAGGGAUAGGAAGGAAGAAAGGGCAAGAGAGAGUAAGCAUGCUUUCUCUUCUCUCUCUCUCUCUCUCUCUCUCUUUCUCUCACUUCCUCUCUCUCUCACUCUCUCCGUGAAUAGAAUAUAUGUAGACGCACGUAUCUCACUCUCACUCCCUCAUCACGGUUGCGAACGUACAUGCGCAAGUAGUGAGGACCGGGUUGCUCGCGUGUGUGGUAAGGGGAUGCCCCUAUGUGAAUAUCGCGCAGCACACAGUCCCAAGCAGUUUCCUACUUGAUUGCCGCUAUCGUCCAGCAGCCUCGUAAGGGAAGCCGUCCGCGUGGAUUCUACUACGACGCCUCGACCAAUCGGAACCCUCGUAGGCGAGCCUUGGCCAAUCGUAGCCUUAUACUCCCUACCACUCUGUGCUACCGGCGCAAAGACUCGAAUGAGAGCUCGUCCUCGUCCAAUCCUCGACGUGACUUUUUCGAUCGACGUCCGCGCGUUUGGUCCGCGCGGACUUCUUCGUUCUCUCUCUUUCUCGCGUUCUCUAUGGCCAUAGCUAUACGAAAUGAAGGUGCUACGCGAAGCCGCAGCGAAACAUGAAAAAUAGGGGGCUACACGAGGAAAAACACGGUUGAGGGAGGAGGUGGAGAAGGUGGUGCUGGUGAAGGAUGAAGAGGAGGUGGAAGAGGACUCUGUGGGAUGGACCCUACGAACCGAAACAGCAAAGGCUGUUCAGGGUGAUGUGAUGUGGUGGUGGUGAUGGUGGCAGCGGUGGUGGUAACGGUGGCGGCGGUGGUGCUGCGCCAGUCGGAAGAUAGAGAGGCCGAGGAUGAGAAUGGAAAAGUAACAUAACGAAACGUCGAUCCCAUUACCUGAAGCUCUCUCGCUCUGCCGUACAGCGAGCUCUGCUUUCGACCCUUAAUCCAAAGAAGGAUUAGAAAACCCCAUUGUCAUGCUUCGCGGAACGCGAGAUGGUGUGGCUCUUUAUCUCCUUUCCACUGGGCGAAGAAGGAAUAUAAGGCAGUACCGUAGAGUGUUGGCGUAGCUGUCGGUCGCGCUUGGUCGGCUGCGGUUUAUACAGAGCCGCCUUGCCAGCCGCUUGCCGCCUGCCGCAGCCGGUUUGCGUGUUCACCGUGUUCGCUCCGUGGAUACGUGUCCUCGGCGCGGCUCUGCGCGGUACUCACCGAACUCUGGCCAAAGCGCGACCGAGAGGGAAAAGGAACGAAAGUGGCGCGUAGACGAGAAGCACGCGAGCAAGUGCGAGAGAGACCGAACGAUGCCGUGAAAAGCGAUAGCGAGAGAGACGCCAAUAGGCGGCAGAACCAGUCGCUGCGGUCGCCGCGGCUAACCACACCGAUGUUCUCAACCUGCGGCGACCUUGCCCGAUCAUCGCGGAUCUUGCGAAUUACGAAAAGCUGCCAGAUCGUGCAACGCGGACCGCUCGACCGUGUAAGAGGAUAGAAGUAUCGCAGGAAGGAAGAUAAAGAAAAACGUGACACUAGACCCCUUUGAAAUCUACCUUUGCACAAGAAAAAGAGUCAACAGCUUUGAGCUCGUUAACUCGCCAAACUUGGCCGAUGGGAGAGAAGCAAAAGGAGAAAAAUCAAGAGAGGAUACUCGAUAACGAUCGUAAACUUUACGUUUCUCCUCAUGACAAUGCUUUCUCGCUUCGAAUAAUAACGAAGCUCGUGCGUACAAAGCGACACGGAGAAAGACACACACAGUUACGAACGCGCUCGCUCGUUCACGCAAGCAAGCAAGCAUAUAGAUAUAGAUAGAUAGAUGGUGAGAGAGUGAGAGGGAAACGUUCGUAAAUUCAGACGAGUGGAGGGCCUUUGGAGCGAGCAUAAUGGCCUCGGUAUACAUCGAGGCGAAAGCGUAUCUGCAUAUACGAGGUAUGCCCCUCAAGAGCCAACGGCAGCAACAGCAGCAAGACGGCAACGACAGCUACGACUACGACUACGACGACGACGACGACGACGACGACGACGACGACGAUUCUCUGGUGGUAGUCGUCGCUCGAACAUCCGAGACAAUGCAUCGUUUAUCUCCGAUCGACUCGGAGAACGACGAGGAACGAUGAACGAACGAGUAGGAGGACUCGUACAUCCAAGCAACGCGUACAUGCGUUAUGGAGACUCCAAAAACAGCUCUUAGAAACGAUUAAAUCAAGCAGACAAAGAAAUAUUUUCUUCAUCUACAAAAGUAUUCGUUCGUGACGCAAGAAGUGAUCAACAACGUCAGAUAUUUUCGACGUGUUUUUUCAGGAAUCUGCUCUUUUAUUAGAUCAGCGUUUUUAAUAUAUAUAAGACAAUAAUCUUAAUUUCUAUAAUGUUGAGAUUUUUCAGGAAAGUAAAACUGAAUCGGUUGCUCUGUAACAAAGUUUUAAAAAUUUAUUUAUCGACUACAUCAUAUUUACAGUAUUUACAGUCUUACCUGUAACAGAGAAAUGACAAUUAAAGUUCCUUUUCCCCCGUUACACUUUUAUUUACUCUUUUUUUUUAUUAAACUACUUAUCAUUAUUAUUGCACUAAAAAUCACACACGUGCUUUCUGUUCUCUUUGUUCGUAUCCGUCUGUUUCUCUCUAUUCAUCAAUCCAUGUUGCCAAAUUCAAUACCCAGCCGCGAUAGCGCGGCAAAUUCAGUU